This is a long non-coding RNA of Cyprinus carpio carpio, 1433 nucleotides long. NCBI's taxonomy places the organism in Eukaryota, Metazoa, Chordata, Actinopteri, Cypriniformes, Cyprinidae. The record is from Ensembl.
GAAGAACGUUCGGCUCACACGUAGUCUUUCAUAUCUCGAUGUUGUCCAUUACAAAGUGCAUCUCCUUUCCACUUUUUCAUGUCAUCUUGUCUUUAUUGGCAGCUUGUGUGCUGCUCUCUAUUGAUGAGAUCGUGCUGGCCCGUCCUGCGCUCUUCAGCGGAGAUCCAGAAGAGGAUGUGAUGUGAUGGACCACGAAAGAAGCAGUGGAUUGGAGAAUGAGAUCAAAAUUAGGCCACGGACAUUACAUCCAUUAUAACCAUGCUUGCUUUUGGUUUUAAACCCCUGGUGAUGAGCUAUUCUUGUGUUAUUUAUUCUGUAAAACAUUGCAAAUUUUCUCUAAGGGAGUUUUAAACGUAUUUAUCAAUGGGUAUUUAGUAAAACAUGCAAAUUUCUGAAAAGCAGUUAAGCUAGUUUCCCUGCGGCACCAUUGAGCGCUUGACAUUGCCGCCCGUCUUUGUUUAGUGUUCCUCUUUAUCUAAGUUGCUUCACUUACAACACUCUAAUACUGCAAUAAAAUCCCUACCGAGUGCAUGCUUGGUCACCUUGACAUGCUGUUAAAUUGCAUUUGUGCUUCAGAAACUCCGGAUGUAUCUUCCCCCCAUUAGGUGCUCAUGGGAUUGCUUUUAAUGACACUUUGCUGAUUUGCUUUCACUGUAAUAACAGACCGCUUUUGUGACAUCCACUGGCUUCUGCAAACACCAUGCUAAUCUGACCACAGAACGUGUAGCACAGCACCAGCGUAAUUUGAUUCGCAGCACAUUGUGCUUACACGCUCCAAAUCUGCCUUACGCCUGUGAUAUCGAAACACCUCGGCGUUUGCUGGAGCUGCACCAAAUGAACGCGGGGAAGAAAAAAAAGCUUCUGGAGCAGACGAUGGACAGUGGGGGCCAAAUGAAAGCUCUCAGAAUCACUGUACAUAGCCAUCGGUCAAACAGUCCAUUUCUUCCCCGAUGUCGCUGUGUUCUGGCAUAGGAGGAAGAUGGAAUAUUCUGUGGACAUAUAUAUGUGUGUAUCCUAUGCAAUUUUUAAAUUCCCCUGAAGGUCUCCAGGUGUCCCACAUGAAAAAAAAAUGCAUGAAAAUGUAUAAAUGAAUAAUUUAUUAGUUGAAUUUGUAUUGUUGUAAUUGUGGGACACGCAUCGUCUUCAAAGUUUAUUUUAUUUUAUUUUUUAUUUAUAAAGGGCAAUAUUUGCCCCCAAAACAGGUUUUAAGGGCUGUUUUGAUGUUUAUGAAUGUAUAUUUUCCUUUUUUCAACGCUUCAAUUAAAAUAUACAAAAUAUUAUUAACAGUUAUGUCCUAGCAAAUACAAAAGUAACUGUAUAUAAUGCAGAAUUUAAUUAUUUAUCAUGCUUUCUCCUUUAGGUGAAUUAUUUCUACUUUUAUUAUUGUCUUAUUAGUGUCUCUUUUAUUAUGUACUUUUGUCUAUCUAUCUGCC